RNAcentral lists this transfer RNA (74 nucleotides) under Myotis davidii. It matches the Rfam family "tRNA". From Rfam's summary of the family: Transfer RNA (tRNA) molecules are approximately 80 nucleotides in length. Their secondary structure includes four short double-helical elements and three loops (D, anti-codon, and T loops). Lineage: Eukaryota; Metazoa; Chordata; Mammalia; Chiroptera; Vespertilionidae. The record is from Rfam by way of RNAcentral.
GUCUCUGUGGCGCAAUCGGUUAGCGCGUUCGGCUGUUAAUCGAAAGGUUGGUGGUUCGAGCCCGCCCAGGGACG